UAAAGGUCGAAAGGGGAGAUUCAGUAUCCGUUCCUCGCGGCCGCUCCCCGUCGCGGGUACAACUCCGGUCGGACCCCUCGCGGGGUUUUUCUCGACCGGGGCCCGCGGCGGGGUCUCGCGCGCCGGAGGCGGAGCGCACUUCUCCCCGAGUAGGACGCCGCGACCCGCUGGGCGUCUGUCUGAGGCCCGGGUGCGAGUCCGGUUCGCCCCUCGGGGCGGCCCGGAGCCCCGGUGUCCCGGCAGUCUGCCCGGCGGUCUUGAGUACGGAGCUGGCCCGCGAACCUCGCUUCGCGCCCGCGACCCUGGCGAGCGACGGCCGGUACCCGUCAGGCGGACUCGUCCGCCGCGGGCCGGCCGGCGUUGUCGGCCAGGGAUCCGCUCGGGCAGCGGUCACGCUAAAUCCCGUCUGCGGCGCUCAAAGCUGGGCGGCCCACCCGACCCGUCUUGAAACACGGACCAAGGAGUCUAACAUGUGCGCGAGUCAUUGGGCUCGAGCUAGCCCCAAGGGCGCAUUGAACGAGAAGGCGGGGCUCGCCCCCGCCGAGGGACGAUGGGGCGGCGCUCGCGCCGCCCCCGCAGUCCCGGGGCGUCUCGUCCUAGUUCCGCUCGUCGGUUCAAGGUGAGGCGCACCAAGAGCGCACACGUUGGGACCCGAAAGAUGGUGAACUAUGCCUGGCCAGGACGAAGUCAGGGGAAACCCUGAUGGAGGUCCGUAGCGAUUCUGACGUGC
RNAcentral lists this ribosomal RNA (730 nucleotides) under Neochoroterpes nanita. RNAcentral's name for it is "eukaryotic LSU rRNA". The stretch from base 456 to 730 matches the Rfam family "Eukaryotic large subunit ribosomal RNA", at positions 665 to 894 of the family's 3401-position model. Lineage: Eukaryota; Metazoa; Arthropoda; Insecta; Ephemeroptera; Leptophlebiidae. The record is from RNAcentral.